GGGUUGUGAGGUUAAGCGACUAAGCGUACACGGUGGAUGCCCUGGCAGUCAGAGGCGAUGAAGGGCGUGCUAAUCUGCGAUAAGCGCCGGUAAGGUGAUAUGAACCGUUAUAACCGGCGAUACCCGAAUGGGGAAACCCAGUGUGAUUCGUCACACUAUCAUUAACUGAAUCCAUAGGUUAAUGAGGCGAACCGGGGGAACUGAAACAUCUAAGUACCCCGAGGAAAAGAAAUCAACCGAGAUUCCCCCAGUAGCGGCGAGCGAACGGGGAGGAGCCCAGAGCCUGAAUCAGCAUGUGUGUUAGUGGAAGCGUCUGGAAAGACGCGCGAUACAGGGUGACAGCCCCGUACACAAAAGCGUAUGUGCUGUGAGCUCGAUGAGUAGGGCGGGACACGUGGUAUCCUGUCUGAAUAUGGGGGGACCAUCCUCCAAGGCUAAAUACUCCUGACUGACCGAUAGUGAACCAGUACCGUGAGGGAAAGGCGAAAAGAACCCCGGCGAGGGGAGUGAAAAAGAACCUGAAACCGUGUACGUACAAGCAGUGGGAGCACAGGUUUACCUGUGUGACUGCGUACCUUUUGUAUAAUGGGUCAGCGACUUAUAUUCUGUAGCAAGGUUAACCGAAUAGGGGAGCCGGAGGGAAACCGAGUCUUAAUUGGGCGUUAAGUUGCAGGGUAUAGACCCGAAACCCGGUGAUCUAGCCAUGGGCAGGUUGAAGGUUGGGUAACACUAACUGGAGGACCGAACCGACUAAUGUUGAAAAAUUAGCGGAUGACCUGUGGCUGGGGGUGAAAGGCCAAUCAAACCGGGAGAUAGCUGGUUCUCCCCGAAAGCUAUUUAGGUAGCGCCUCGUGAAUUCAUCUCCGGGGGUAGAGCACUGUUUCGGCUAGGGGGUCAUCCCGACUUACCAACCCGAUGCAAACUGCGAAUACCGGAGAAUGUUAUCACGGGAGACACACGGCGGGUGCUAACGUCCGUCGUGAAGAGGGAAACAACCCAGACCGCCAGCUAAGGUCCCAAAGUCAUGGUUAAGUGGGAAACGAUGUGGGAAGGCCCAGACAGCCAGGAUGUUGGCUUAGAAGCAGCCAUCAUUUAAAGAAAGCGUAAUAGCUCACUGGUCGAGUCGGCCUGCGCGGAAGAUGUAACGGGGCUAAACCAUGCACCGAAGCUGCGGCAGCGAACGUAUCACUUAAAGCGAUUCAGCGGGUUACGAUUGACGGAGCGAAGCGACGUCAAAGCGUAUACAAAGUCGAGUCGGUUUAAGGAUACGUUCGUUGGGUAGGGGAGCGUUCUGUAAGCCUG
Molecule: ribosomal RNA, 1302 nt
Filed under: Salmonella enterica
Lineage: Bacteria; Pseudomonadati; Pseudomonadota; Gammaproteobacteria; Enterobacterales; Enterobacteriaceae
Description: partial 23S ribosomal RNA
Rfam family: Bacterial large subunit ribosomal RNA
Source: RNAcentral